Molecule: small nuclear RNA, 110 nt
Filed under: Sus scrofa (pig)
Lineage: Eukaryota; Metazoa; Chordata; Mammalia; Artiodactyla; Suidae
Description: U1 spliceosomal RNA (ENSSSCG00005000106.1)
Rfam family: U1 spliceosomal RNA
About the family: U1 is a small nuclear RNA (snRNA) component of the spliceosome (involved in pre-mRNA splicing). Its 5' end forms complementary base pairs with the 5' splice junction, thus defining the 5' donor site of an intron.
Source: RNAcentral
CAGGCUUAUCCACUGCACUCCGGAUGUGCUGACUCCUGCGAUUUCCCCAAAUGCGGGAACUCGACUGCAUAAUUUGUGGUAGUGGGGGACUGCAUUCGUGCUUUCCCCUG